AAAGAGUGGGAAACAAUAUGUAGAGAAUGAGUAUGAAUUAAUCAGAUAACACAAACUGACUCAUAUAUCACAAAGCAUUGAUGAUUAAUAUCAUCGAAAUUAGUGCUAAGGCUAGCUACUCUGAAAACAGGAGAUUUUGAUUAUAUCAAGAAGAGGGGAGAUAACUGGGAGCACUAUUGGAAGAAGGGGUAGGUGUCAAUUGGGUGGUCGUGAGGAAAUUCUAGAGGCAUCCAAAUGUACCAGCACCUGGGAAGCAAAGAGAAUCAGGUACCAAGCCAAUGAAUGUCAACACAGGAAGGUAACCAAAGUGCCAUAUAAUACACAUCUUUGCCUUAAUGCUGGGAAAACCAGACCUUCCUAUCUGGAGUGUCAGCAAAGCUGAUGUCAUUGAGAAGCUACCCGGACUCCAGGGUAACUCACGUGCCUUUCUCACCAGCUAUAUUACUAUUCAUUGUAAAGACCUCGUUUCCCUGUGUGCCAGCAGUGUGCAGAAUAUAAAUGUUUGGUACCUAUCACACAACAGGAAAGCCUAAAACAAAGUCAUAAACACUUGGAAUGACCCACUGGAAAAAGACUGCUGCUCCUGUUGACCAAAAGAUUUCCUCUACAUGAUGAUAUUCCAGAGAAAAGAUGUCACUGUCCCGAUAAGGACCCGUUCGAGUGCUUCUGAUCACUGACAGCUAUCAAAGUAAAAGAAAAACUCAGCUAAUUGGUGUUUCCCAUGGGAACAGGAUCCUUAGGAGGACUGGACUGCACAUCCCACCAAAGACUUGAAAUUUUUUAAAUUGUUUAUACUGACCUCAACUGAAAGAAGGUAUUCUGGCUAAUUCACUAUUAUUCUAGAACUUUCAUGAAAGUGAAAUUGUAAAAAUUUGACUAAUGUAAUCCUUUCAACAGUAUUGCAAGCAUUCAGUUUACUUAAGUUUGUUUGGAAACUCCUAACCAUUGACAAUCUUGAGUGAACUAGGCCUGCAAGAUCAUAAACCAGCUAAGCCUCUAUGAUCAUAAAUCAAUUUGAACACAGAGGCAUUUCUUAGAAAACCUAAAUCAGAUAGCACACUGUGGGUCCUUACCCAAUAGAAAAUAGCCCAUAGCAUUUUGAAACCUGUUUUUCUCCACAUUUUUAUCACCAUUCUCAGCAUAAUCCCUUCCAGGGAACUAUAAAUUACACCAUAAAAAGACUGGUUGACAGCUUUGAGUAUUCAGUCUAUCAACAAAUGGUCGGUAGUGUCAAAAGGAAAAACAGGAAGUAUUUUCCUUGUUAUAAUAAAGGAUCAAUUUGUCGACCA
Molecule: long non-coding RNA, 1289 nt
Filed under: Vulpes vulpes (red fox)
Lineage: Eukaryota; Metazoa; Chordata; Mammalia; Carnivora; Canidae
Description: lncRNA (ENSVVUG00000010838.1)
Source: RNAcentral